Molecule: transfer RNA, 68 nt
Filed under: Ixodes rubicundus
Lineage: Eukaryota; Metazoa; Arthropoda; Arachnida; Ixodida; Ixodidae
Description: tRNA-Ile
Source: RNAcentral
AAUAAAAUGCCUGAUUAAAAGGGUUAUCUUGAUAGGAUAAAUUAUGUAAAAUUAAAUUACUUUUAUUA